AAUAGAUACCCAGGUAGUCCACGCCGUAAACGAUGAAUACUAGGUGUAGGGGUUGUCAUGACCUCUGUGCCGCCGCUAACGCAUUAAGUAUUCCGCCUGGGGAGUACGGUCGCAAGAUUAAAACUCAAAGGAAUUGACGGGGGCCCGCACAAGCAGCGGAGCAUGUGGUUUAAUUCGAAGCAACGCGAAGAACCUUACCUAGACUUGACAUCUCCUGAAUUACCCUUAAUCGGGGAAGCCCUUCGGGGCAGGAAGACAGGUGGUGCAUGGUUGUCGUCAGCUCGUGUCGUGAGAUGUUGGGUUAAGUCCCGCAACGAGCGCAACCCUUAUUGUUAGUUGCUACCAUUUAGUUGAGCACUCUAGCGAGACUGCCCGGGUUAACCGGGAGGAAGGUGGGGAUGACGUCAAAUCAUCAUGCCCCUUAUGUCUAGGGCUACACACGUGCUACAAUGGCUGGUACAGAGAGAUGCUAAACCGCGAGGUGGAGCCAAACUUCAAAACCAGUCUCAGUUCGGAUUGUAGGCUGAAACUCGCCUACA
This 539-nucleotide ribosomal RNA is filed under the name uncultured bacterium. RNAcentral describes it as "bacterial SSU rRNA". It matches the Rfam family "Bacterial small subunit ribosomal RNA", at positions 777 to 1320 of the family's 1533-position model. The record is from RNAcentral.